Molecule: ribosomal RNA, 401 nt
Filed under: uncultured Pseudomonas sp.
Lineage: Bacteria; Pseudomonadati; Pseudomonadota; Gammaproteobacteria; Pseudomonadales; Pseudomonadaceae
Description: bacterial SSU rRNA
Rfam family: Bacterial small subunit ribosomal RNA
Source: RNAcentral
UUGACAUGCAGAGAACUUUCCAGAGAUGGAUUGGUGCCUUCGGGAACUCUGACACAGGUGCUGCAUGGCUGUCGUCAGCUCGUGUCGUGAGAUGUUGGGUUAAGUCCGUAACGAGCGCAACCCUUGUCCUUAGUUACCAGCACGUUAUGGUGGGCACUCUAAGGAGACUGCCGGUGACAAACCGGAGGAAGGUGGGGAUGACGUCGAGUCAUCAUGGCCCUUACGGCCUGGGCUACACACGUGCUACAAUGGUCGGUACAAAGGGUUGCCAAGCCGCGAGGUGGAGCUAGUCCCAUAAAACCGAUCGUAGUCCGGAUCGCAGUCUGCAACUCGACUGCGUGAAGUCGGAAUCGCUAGUAAUCGUGAAUCAGAAUGUCACGGUGAAUACGUUCCCGGGCCUU